Molecule: long non-coding RNA, 402 nt
Filed under: Gallus gallus (chicken)
Lineage: Eukaryota; Metazoa; Chordata; Aves; Galliformes; Phasianidae
Description: long non-coding RNA NONGGAT001209
Source: RNAcentral
CAAAUAUCAGUGGGUCCAGCAGCACUCAGAAUGAAGGUCUUGGGGUACUGCCAAGAAGAUAAAGUGAUGUAAAGUGAUGACAGCUUUCCUUGGCUGUGAAUGUUGACACACUGCGUGUAGGAGGAGAAGAGGAUGUGCAGAAGGAACUCUGUGCAUCACACUAGUUGAUGGUGUAGCAGCCAGAAUCAGCGUGAACAGCAGCUGCAGCUCUGCAUGGAGCCAAUUCAGGCACAGGAUAUGGUGGAAAGCACUGCCAACUGUGCCUGUAGUGUCCGCUAGCAAAGCACAAGGAUGGGCAAGUUUGCCAGGACUGAAUAAAAGAAAACCUAAGAGCAGCUGGUGGUGUGGGCAUCUUCUUCUGGUACCUGAUGAACACUUCAAAGCUGGCUCUGGGCAAAGCCA